Molecule: ribosomal RNA, 293 nt
Filed under: uncultured bacterium
Lineage: Bacteria
Description: partial 16S ribosomal RNA
Rfam family: Bacterial small subunit ribosomal RNA
Source: RNAcentral
AACGAACGCUGGCGGCAUGCCUAACACAUGCGAGUCGAACGAAUUUAGGGGCUUCGGCCCCAACAGUUAGUGGCGGACGGGUGAGUAACGCGUAGGAACCUACCAGGCAGUGGGGAAUAACAGCUGGAAACGGCUGCUAAUACCGCAUACGUCCCUUCGGGGAGAAAGAUUUAUCGCUGUUUGAGGGUCCUGCGUUCGAUUAGCUAGUUGGUGUGGUAACGGCGCACCAAGGCUACGAUCGAUAGCUGGUCUGAGAGGAUGAUCAGCCACACUGGGACUGAGACACGGCCCAG